GGGAAUAUAGCUCAGUGGCACAGCAACCUGCCUGGCAAGCACGAGGUCCUGAGUUCAAUUCCUAGUACCA
Molecule: transfer RNA, 70 nt
Filed under: Cavia porcellus (domestic guinea pig)
Lineage: Eukaryota; Metazoa; Chordata; Mammalia; Rodentia; Caviidae
Rfam family: tRNA
About the family: Transfer RNA (tRNA) molecules are approximately 80 nucleotides in length.
Source: Rfam by way of RNAcentral